UAAUACGGAGGAUGCGAGCGUUAUCCGGAUUCAUUGGGUUUAAAGGGUGCGUAGGCGGCCUUUUAAGUCAGUGGUGAAAUCCUGCCGCUUAACGGUAGAAUUGCCAUUGAUACUGAAAGGCUUGAGUACAGUUGAGGUAAGCGGAAUGUGUAGUGUAGCGGUGAAAUGCUUAGAUAUUACACAGAACACCAAUUGCGAAGGCAGCUUACUAAACUGGCAACUGACGCUGAUGCACGAAAGCGUGGGGAGCGAACAGGAUUAGAUACCCUGGUAGUCCACGCCGUAAACGAUGCUCACUCGCUGUUUGCGAUACACAGCAAGCGGCCAAGCGAAAGCAUUAAGUGAGCCACCUGGGGAGUACGAUCGCAAGGUUG
RNAcentral lists this ribosomal RNA (374 nucleotides) under uncultured bacterium. RNAcentral describes it as "bacterial SSU rRNA". It matches the Rfam family "Bacterial small subunit ribosomal RNA", at positions 521 to 896 of the family's 1533-position model. The record is from RNAcentral.